AAGAAAUUAGUUAAAUAUAUAACUUAAUCCUGUCACGAUUAAAUUACCUUUAUGUAAGGUAUUUCUUA
This 68-nucleotide transfer RNA is filed under the name Acetes chinensis (northern mauxia shrimp). RNAcentral's name for it is "tRNA-Asp". The record is from RNAcentral. Lineage: Eukaryota; Metazoa; Arthropoda; Malacostraca; Decapoda; Sergestidae.